UCCUCUAUUGGGAACAACAGACUUCCUCUGGAUAAGGUGCCAUUCCUGUGUCCCUUGGAGGGUCACGUCCACCUGAAAAUGCUGUGUGAGGUGGGUUCAAAGGUGGAAGAAAGAGGCUUCUUGACAAUGUUUGAAGAUGUCAGCGGGUUUGGAGCGUGGCACAGAAGAUGGUGUGUGCUGUCAGGAUAUUCC
This is a long non-coding RNA of Nematolebias whitei (Rio pearlfish), 192 nucleotides long. RefSeq lists it as uncharacterized. The transcript is spliced from 3 exons. The record is from RefSeq and is a predicted model, not a curated record. NCBI's taxonomy places the organism in Eukaryota, Metazoa, Chordata, Actinopteri, Cyprinodontiformes, Rivulidae.